Molecule: ribosomal RNA, 253 nt
Filed under: uncultured bacterium
Lineage: Bacteria
Description: partial 16S ribosomal RNA
Rfam family: Bacterial small subunit ribosomal RNA
Source: RNAcentral
UACGGAGGGAGCUAGCGUUGUUCGGAAUUACUGGGCGUAAAGCGUGCGUAGGCGGUUAUUCAAGUCAGAGGUGAAAGCCCGGGGCUCAACCCCGGAACGGCCUUUGAAACUAGGUAGCUAGAAUCUUGGAGAGGUCAGUGGAAUUCCGAGUGUAGAGGUGAAAUUCGUAGAUAUUCGGAAGAACACCAGUGGCGAAGGCGGCUCACUGAACGUGUAUUGACGCUGAGGCACGAAAGCGUGGGGAGCAAACAGG